CCUACGGGGGGCUGCAGUGGGGAAUAUUGCACAAUGGGCGAAAGCCUGAUGCAGCAACGCCGCGUGAGCGAUGAAGGUCUUCGGGUCGUACAGCUCUGUCCUAAGGGAAGAAUACUGACGGUACCUUAGGAGGAAGCGCCGGCUAACUACGUGCCAGCAGCCGCGGUAAUACGUAGGGGGCUAGUGUUAUCCGGAAUUACUGGGCGUAAAGGGUGCGGUGGCGGCCCUUCAAGUCAGGGGUGGAAGUCUACGGUUCAACCGUAUGAAGCCUUUGAAACUGGAGGGCUUGAGUGCAGGAGAGGAGAGUGGAAUUCCCAGUGUAGCGGUGAAAUGCGUUGAUAUUGGGAGGAACACCAGUUGCGAAGGCGGCUCUCUGGACUGUAACUGACGCUGAGGCACGAAAGUGUGGGGAGCGAACAGGAUUAGAUACCCCAGUAGUC
Molecule: ribosomal RNA, 440 nt
Filed under: uncultured bacterium
Lineage: Bacteria
Description: bacterial SSU rRNA
Rfam family: Bacterial small subunit ribosomal RNA
Source: RNAcentral